GAUGAACGCUGGCGGCGUGCCUAAUACAUGCAAGUCGAGCGAACGGACGAGAAGCUUGCUUCUCUGAUGUUAGCGGCGGACGGGUGAGUAACACGUGGAUAACCUACCUAUAAGACUGGGAUAACUUCGGGAAACCGGAGCUAAUACCGGAUAAUAUUUUGAACCGCAUGGUUCAAAAGUGUAAGACGGUCUUGCUGUCACUUAUAGAUGGAUCCGCGCUGCAUUAGCUAGUUGGUAAGGUAACGGCUUACCAAGGCAACGAUGCAUAGCCGACCUGAGAGGAUGAUCGGCCACACGGGAGCUGGGACACGGACCAAACUCCGACGGGAGGCAGCAGUAGGAAAUCUUCCGGAAUGAGCGAUAGCGUGACGUAGCAACUCCGCGUGAGUGAUGAAGGUCUUCGGAUCGUAAAUCUCUGUUAUUUGGGAAGAACAUAAGUGUAAGUAACUGUACACAUCUUGACGGUACCUAAUCAGAAGGCCACGGCUAACUACGG
This 496-nucleotide ribosomal RNA is filed under the name uncultured bacterium. RNAcentral's name for it is "partial 16S ribosomal RNA". It matches the Rfam family "Bacterial small subunit ribosomal RNA", at positions 28 to 506 of the family's 1533-position model. The record is from RNAcentral.